GCACUGCUGAGGAGUCCCACAAUAGGACAACACGGCCGUCCAGUGC
This is a non-coding RNA of Schistosoma mattheei, 46 nucleotides long. The record is from Rfam. Lineage: Eukaryota; Metazoa; Platyhelminthes; Trematoda; Strigeidida; Schistosomatidae.